GUCCCUGUAGCUCAGCUGGAUAGAGCAACGGACUUCUAAUCCGUAGGUCGGGGGUUCGAAUCCCUCCGGGGACGCCA
This 77-nucleotide transfer RNA is filed under the name Syntrophomonadaceae bacterium. Its description in RNAcentral is "tRNA-Arg". It matches the Rfam family "tRNA". From Rfam's summary of the family: Transfer RNA (tRNA) molecules are approximately 80 nucleotides in length. Their secondary structure includes four short double-helical elements and three loops (D, anti-codon, and T loops). RNAcentral also lists the same sequence under 1 other name. The record is from RNAcentral. Lineage: Bacteria; Bacillati; Bacillota; Clostridia; Eubacteriales; Syntrophomonadaceae.